AGAACGAACGCUGGCGGCAGGCUUAACACAUGCAAGUCGAACGGUUGUAGCAAUACAGCAGUGGCAGACGGGUGAGUAACACGUGGGAACCUUCCUAGGGGUACGGAACAACUCAGGGAAACUUGAGCUAAUACCGUAUACGUCCGUGAGGAGAAAGAUUUAUCGCCCCUAGACGGGCCCGCGUAGGAUUAGGUAGUUGGUGAGGUAACGGCUCACCAAGCCUACGAUCCUUAGCUGAUCUGAGAGGAUGAUCAGCCACACUGGGACUGAGACACGGCCCAGACUCCUACGGGAGGCAGCAGUGGGGAAUCUUGGACAAUGGGCGCAAGCCUGAUCCAGCCAUGCCGCGUGAGUGAAGAAGGCCUUGGGUUGUAAAGCUCUUUUACCAGGACGAUAAUGACGGUACUGGAGAAUAAGCCCCGGACAAACUUCGUGCCAGCAGCCGC
RNAcentral lists this ribosomal RNA (446 nucleotides) under uncultured soil bacterium. Its description in RNAcentral is "bacterial SSU rRNA". It matches the Rfam family "Bacterial small subunit ribosomal RNA", at positions 26 to 518 of the family's 1533-position model. The record is from RNAcentral.